This 535-nucleotide long non-coding RNA is filed under the name Malus domestica (apple). Its description in RNAcentral is "long non-coding RNA (MDOM_LNC021306)". Lineage: Eukaryota; Viridiplantae; Streptophyta; Magnoliopsida; Rosales; Rosaceae. The record is from RNAcentral.
GCCAUAGGAUUGCCAAUUGGGCAUUAACUCAAGUGUGAGUAUGACUAGUCUCAAGUCAUUUAGUGUUGGACACUGAGACAAACACAUAGGUGCUCGAAAGGUAAUAGAGUACACUGAACAACGAUAAAAAAGGAGUUCGAACAUACAUGUCAUGUAAGAACUCGUAAGUUGCAAUAUGCAAAAUAGUCCUUUGACCUUAGGCAUCAUAGAUGUCUAAUGGUUGGGUCCUUGAUCUUUGAUCAUGUUAAAGGCAUUCUAUUGAGAAUGUCCACGACAUUGUUGGGGUCAAGCUAUCUAGUCAUGUAGGCAUAUGAAUGUAGUUUCAAUUCACAAUCAAUCGUUAAGAGUAACAAUCGCCCACUGCCUCGCUGAUUGGAAACUAAUGGAUCGUACAUCGAGUAAGGAUGAAAGUGAUGAAAUAUAUAUUAGAUGGAUAAGUAAUCAAAUAGUUUAAUUGAGAAUGAUCAAGAUUAAUUAAUUAGUUAAUUAAUCUUACGAAAGGUUUGUAUUAGGCUUUUAAGUUGGUUUUGGGUUU